CAUGUGUAGCGGUGAAAUGCGUAGAUAUAUGGAGGAACACCGGUGGCGAAAGCGGCUCUCUGGUCUGUCACUGACGCUGAGGCUNGAAAGCGUGGGUAGCGAACAGGAUUAGAUACCCUGGUAGUNCACGCCGUAAACGAUGAGUGCUAGGUGUUAGGUCCUUUCCGGGACUUAGUGCCGCAGCUAACGCAAUAAGCACUCCGCCUGGGGAGUACGACCGCAAGGUUGAAACUCAAAGGAAUUGACGGGGGCCCGCACAAGCGGUGGAGCAUGUGGUUUAAUUCGAAGCAACGCGAAGAACCUUACCAGGUCUUGACAUCCCGAUGCCCGCUCUAGAGAUAGAGUUUUUCUUCGGAACAUCGGAGACAGGUGGUGCAUGGUUGUCGUCAGCUCGUGUCGUGAGAUGUUGGGUUAAGUCCCGCAACGAGCGCAACCCUUAUUGUUAGUUGCCAUCAUUGAGUUGGGCACUCUAGCGAGACUGCCGGUAAUAAACCGGAGGAAGGUGGGGAUGACGUCAAAUCAUCAUGCCCCUUAUGACCUGGGCUACACACGUGCUACAAUGGUUGGUACAACGUGUCGCAAGCCGGUGACGGCAAGCUAAUCUCUGAAAGCCAAUCUCAGUUCGGAUUGUAGGCUGCAACUCGCCUACAUGAAGUCGGAAUCGCUAGUAAUCGCGGAUCAGCACGCCGCGGUGAAUACGUUCCCGGGCCUUGUACACACCGCCCGUCACACCACGAGAGUUUGUAACACCCAAAGUCGGUGAGG
Molecule: ribosomal RNA, 765 nt
Filed under: uncultured bacterium
Lineage: Bacteria
Description: bacterial SSU rRNA
Rfam family: Bacterial small subunit ribosomal RNA
Source: RNAcentral